Molecule: long non-coding RNA, 1254 nt
Organism: Panthera uncia (snow leopard)
Lineage: Eukaryota; Metazoa; Chordata; Mammalia; Carnivora; Felidae
Exons: 2
Source: RefSeq, a predicted model, not a curated record
GCAAAAUACGUUCAUUGUAAACAUCAUGCCAGCCUCCAGUUCUACUCCCCAGUGGCAAUCGGUGUUACCUGUGUUCCUUUUCCACCUAGGCAUAUAGAUAAAUAUAGCUUUAUUUUUCUUACACAAAUGGGGCACGGAGGUAAAGUGCCUCCCAAGUCAGAAACAAGGAGCAAGAAUUUGCCAACAAAAUUCACUUUGGGGAUCUGGGAUGGAGAUAGGCAGCUGGUAAGAAGAGAGAUUGAGGAUUACGGUCACGCUGGCAAAACUAAUACCUACAACCAGGCCAACCUUCCAAGUAUCCCUGUCCCCAACAUCAUUUGUCAAUGCUGAUUAUCCCGAACCCCCUCCUACCUUACUCCUCCUGAGCCUUUGGAGUGUCAGAGUCAAUAUAGUCAACUAGAAGAUGGCUGCACAAUGAAGAAGGAUAGGAGGUUCUGGAUUAGAAAAGCCAAGGACAGUAGAUGGAUGUUGAACGCUGGGAUUUGUCAGUGGAGUGCUAGAAGCCAGGAUACAAAGUGAUGGCAGGGAUCUCUCCUCCUAGGGAAGCUUCUCUGAUAUUCUUUCUAUUCCAGCCCCCUGGCUGGGUAGGUACACCUCCUUAAUGUUCCCACAGCAGUCUGUGUUCCCCUCUACUGUGACACUUCUCACUUUGUUUUAUGUUUGUCUGCUCCUGUACUGGUUGGCUUCUCUGAACUGGGAGCUCCUGGCAAGGUAGGGACCACCUUUAUUUUAUUUUAUUUUAUUUUAGAGAGAGAGAGAGAGAGCACGAGGCGGGGAGAGGAGCAGAGGGAGAGAGAGAGAAUCUUAAGCAGGCUCCAUGCUCCGGGCAGAGCCCGAUGCAGGGCUCAAUCCCAUGACGCUGGGAUCACGAUCUGAGCUGAAAUCAAGAGUCAGACGCUCAACUGAUUGAGCCACCCAGGCGCCCUGGCGCUAUCAUCUCUAUCCUUGUCUCCCCAGCAUCCAGUUCAGCACCUGGCCCGCAGCAGACAGUGAAUGUUGAUUUGAGCAAAUGAACUAAUAGAAAGAAAUGUCUCCUGUAAUUGCUUCUUACCAAUCUAGCCAACAACGGCAGCGUUGUGGAUGGAGGCACCAGAGAACACAUCAUCUCUGGCUUUUUGCUGCAGAUCUACAUGGAGAAUCACACAUGGGGCAACAAAGAUUCUCAAGGCCAGAUCUCGCAGAAAUGUCUGAAAGGAAACUGUAAAAAAUGAAUAUGUACGGGUUUUUUGUUGUUGUUGCAGCAUUGUCUAAUAU